Molecule: small nucleolar RNA, 107 nt
Organism: Lactuca sativa (garden lettuce)
Lineage: Eukaryota; Viridiplantae; Streptophyta; Magnoliopsida; Asterales; Asteraceae
Source: RefSeq, a predicted model, not a curated record
AAAUCAUGUUGAGGGAAACUUCAUAAUAAUUUCUUGUAGCGCUCCCAUGCUUUGUAUAACGACUCCCCCUCUAAUUGUUGGAAAUUUUGUAUAUUCCUCUUAAGUUU